CCUACGGGAGGCAGCAGUGGGGAAUAUUGGACAAUGGGGGGAACCCUGAUCCAGCCAUGCCGCGUGUGUGAAGAAGGCCCUCGGGUUGUAAAGCACUUUCAGUGAGGAAGAACGCCUGGUGGUUAAUACCCAUCAGGAAAGACAUCACUCACAGAAGAAGCACCGGCUAACUCCGUGCCAGCAGCCGCGGUAAUACGGAGGGUGCGAGCGUUAAUCGGAAUUACUGGGCGUAAAGCGCGCGUAGGUGGCUUGAUAAGCCGGUUGUGAAAGCCCCGGGCUCAACCUGGGAACGGCAUCCGGAACUGUCAAGCUAGAGUGCAGGAGAGGAAGGUAGAAUUCCCGGUGUAGCGGUGAAAUGCGUAGAGAUCGGGAGGAAUACCAGUGGCGAAGGCGGCCUUCUGGACUGACACUGACACUGAGGUGCGAAAGCGUGGAUAGCAAACAGGAUUAGAUACCCUGGUAGUC
RNAcentral lists this ribosomal RNA (465 nucleotides) under Vreelandella stevensii. RNAcentral's name for it is "partial 16S ribosomal RNA". It matches the Rfam family "Bacterial small subunit ribosomal RNA", at positions 338 to 795 of the family's 1533-position model. The record is from RNAcentral. Lineage: Bacteria; Pseudomonadati; Pseudomonadota; Gammaproteobacteria; Oceanospirillales; Halomonadaceae.